Molecule: ribosomal RNA, 403 nt
Filed under: Verrucomicrobiota bacterium
Lineage: Bacteria; Pseudomonadati; Verrucomicrobiota
Description: Verrucomicrobia bacterium partial 16S ribosomal RNA
Rfam family: Bacterial small subunit ribosomal RNA
Source: RNAcentral
UGGGGAAUAUUGCACAAUGGGGGAAACCCUGAUGCAGCGACGCCGCGUGAGCGAAGAAGGCUUUCGAGUCGUAAAGCUCUGUCCUAUGAGAAGAUAAUGACGGUAUCAUAGGAGGAAGCCCUGGCUAAAUACGUGCCAGCAGCCGCGGUAAUACGUAUGGGGCGAGCGUUGUCCGGAAUUAUUGGGCGUAAAGGGUACGAAGGCGGUUUUUUAAGUCAGGUGUCAAAGCGUGGAGCUUAACUCCAUUAAGCACUUGAAACUGAAAGACUUGAGUGAAGGAGAGGAAAGUGGAAUUCCUAGUGUAGCGGUGAAAUGCGUAGAUAUUAGGAGGAAUACCGGUGGCGAAGGCGACUUUCUGGACUUUUACUGACGCUCAGGUACGAAAGCGUGGGGAGCAAACAGG